CCAAAUCAUUUAAACCCAAUUAAAGUUACGAAUUUGGGCUGUUCAAAAAACUCAUAUUUGAACUUUCCACAAUUGGCCAGCCCAUCAUUCACAUGUUUUAAAGUGAAAAUUUGAAACAACUCUUUAAGCUUAUUUGCCUUUGAUCUUGUUACUGGUCUGCUGAAACUUUCCAGAUUUAGAACUCUAUUUGUGUUUACGUCAUUUGAAAUUUGCUACAAGUCACCUUUUGAUGCUCUUUGAGUAUCUUGAGUGUUUUUAGCCUUGUUUGCAUAAGGAAAUACAGAGAAGUAUAGCUCAACGCCAAGAGGUAAAUUAAAUAACAAGAUAUCUGCGGCUAAUGUGAAGAAUUUUUUAGAGAGCUUUUCAUGAAGAUGUCU
RNAcentral lists this long non-coding RNA (377 nucleotides) under Carica papaya (papaya). Its description in RNAcentral is "long non-coding RNA (CPAP_LNC016349)". Lineage: Eukaryota; Viridiplantae; Streptophyta; Magnoliopsida; Brassicales; Caricaceae. The record is from RNAcentral.